Molecule: non-coding RNA, 73 nt
Organism: Trichonephila clavipes
Lineage: Eukaryota; Metazoa; Arthropoda; Arachnida; Araneae; Nephilidae
Source: the annotation of a GenBank genome assembly
AUCCCUGUAGCGCAAUGAGCAACGCGUUAUACUUUUACUACAAAGGCCGUGGGUUCGAAUCCCACCUAGGAUG